UGGGGAAUAUUGCACAAUGGGCGAAAGCCUGAUGCAGCGACGCCGCGUGAGCGAAGAAGGCCUUCGGGUCGUAAAGCUCUGUCCUAUGGGACGAUAAUGACGGUACCAUAGGAGGAAGCCCCGGCUAACUACGUGCCAGCAGCCGCGGUAAUACGUAGGGGGCAAGCGUUGUCCGGAAUGACUGGGCGUAAAGGGUACGUAGGCGGUUAUGUAAGUCAGGUGUGAAAGGCUAGGGCUCAACCCUAGUAAGCACUUGAAACUGCGUGACUUGAGUCGAGGAGAGGAAAGUGGAAUUCCUGGUGUAGCGGUGAAAUGCGUAGAUAUCAGGAGGAAUACCAGUGGCGAAGGCGACUUUCUGGCCUUGGACUGACGCUGAGGUACGAAAGCGUGGGGAGCAAACAGG
This 403-nucleotide ribosomal RNA is filed under the name uncultured Tepidimicrobium sp. Its description in RNAcentral is "bacterial SSU rRNA". It matches the Rfam family "Bacterial small subunit ribosomal RNA", at positions 355 to 776 of the family's 1533-position model. The record is from RNAcentral. Lineage: Bacteria; Bacillati; Bacillota; Tissierellia; Tissierellales; Tepidimicrobiaceae.